Molecule: ribosomal RNA, 2819 nt
Filed under: Ziziphus jujuba (common jujube)
Lineage: Eukaryota; Viridiplantae; Streptophyta; Magnoliopsida; Rosales; Rhamnaceae
Description: bacterial LSU rRNA
Rfam family: Bacterial large subunit ribosomal RNA
Source: RNAcentral
GACAAGCCCUUUUGAGAAUGAAUUACUUUAUGGAUAAAGGUAGCAAGAUUGUCCUUAAACCUCUUAGCUUGAGCCCUAGUGAUCGGUCCAGUCUUCAUCCGUAUCGGAUCAGUACCCCAGUGAGUUGUUGGUGGUGCGAGCUCAGGCGGGUUUGCAUCAAAAUGGGAGCAGCCUAAACCAUGAAAAUAGGAUUUUGGGAAAGCAAUACAAGUGUCAUGCUGCUAGGUAAAAUGGUGGAGUGCUGCACCCUAAAUGGGGAAAGUCCAAAAACCGAAAGUAUCACCAGCUUACGCUCUAACCCGAGUAGCAUUGGGCACUUGGAAUCCCAUGUGAAUCAGUAAGGACCACCUUGCAAGGCUAAAUACUCCUGGGUGACUGAUAGUGAAGCAGUACCGUUAAGGAAAGGUGAAAGGGUGAUACGAACCUAGGACGACCUGCUCCUAAACCCGUAUUAUAUUAGCCCGGAUCUUAAUUAAGUUCAAGUUCUAAUGGAAUUGACCUCAACCCCUAACCAACCUAUGGUUAGAAACCUUGGUAUAAUGUAGACGCCACAAUAGGGGAUGGAAAAACUACUGAUAAGUCAAGCUAAAACAACCAAUUCUCUAAUGGUGUUUUAGGUGUUCUCAAAGAACAAAGAGAUAAUUAAUCUCACAAGUAUUUUCUUAAUCAAAUCCAAGUUGUAUUCAUAUUGAAAAAUAAGCCUUUAAAUAAGCUUGAAAGAAACAAAACAAACCCUAAAAAAUUAAUUCAAAACCGGACUCCUAUAGGAAUUAGGAAACUUGACCGAAUUCUAAUAUGUCCUAAACUAAGUUUCCUAAACAAAAAUUGAUUAAUUAAUUCCUUUAUUUUGAAUUAGGAAUUAAUUAAUUUACAAUGAAAAUAAUAAAAUAAUAACUUUCAUAAACUUAUUUUUCAAGAAAUUAAAUAAAUAAAAAUUAAAAAGUAAUGGUAAUUUCCUAAAACAAAAAGUAUAAUUAAAUUAGGAAACUAUAAUACUAGCUUUUUGACUAAGUUGACUUUGACCAAUCUUUGACCAAAUUGAGCUCCAAAUCAGCUUCAAUAGACUUUUUAUUUGACUUUGACCAAUCUUUGACCUCUUUGAGCUUCAAAUCAGAUUCUAGAUGCUUUUUAGGAUCCCAAAUAAGCUGAAUAUGAAGUCCCACACGUUUCCCAUGCUUGGAAAAAUAAGAAAAGGCUAAUACAGUAAAAUACAGUAAAGCCAGCAAGCAAUACAGUAAAUUCGGCCAAAUUCUUGAUGCUGUCCGUACAAGCCCUUUUUGAUUGCAUUUGAGGCUGCUUUAACUUGAUUCCAUGACCUAUUAGGCAUAUGUAUUGAACCCAUAAAGCAUUGGAACCAUUUCGUGCUUCCCGGACUCCAAAAAUGUACCAAAAUCGUCAUCCGGGUUCGUAUCGGCUUCCACCACUUGGAUGCUUAGAAUAGGCUUUGUAUCUUCAAGUAUGGACAAGCUCUGUUGAGAUUGAUUACCCCCUGUAUAAAUACUUCCAGUUUGUCCUUAAAUCUCUUAAUUUGAGCUCUUGUGAUUGGCCUAGUCUUCAUCCGUGUCGAGUUAGCACCCCAGCGGGUUAUCGGUUGAGCGGGCUCGGGCGGAAUCACAUCAAAGGGGGUCGCAGUGACCAACCCCGGACAACUAUUUACCAAAAACACAUGUCUCCGCACAGUCACAAGACCAUGUAUAGGGAGCCAGUGACCAAAGCCCCGUUGAAUGGCGAUCGUAACUACAAUGGUCCUAAGGUAGUAAAAUUCCUUGUCGGGUAAGUUCCAACCAGCACUAAAGGCAUAACGAUCUGGGCACUGUCUCGGAGAGAGGCUUGGUGAAAUAGACAUGUCUAUGAAGAUGUGGGCUACCUGUACCUAGACAAAAAGACCCUAUAAAGCUUCACUAUUCCCUAGGAUUGGCUUUGGGCCUUUCCUACGCAGCUUAGGUAGAGGGCGAAGAAGGCCUCCUUCCGGGGGGGCCCGAGCGAUUAGUGAGAUACCACUCAAGAAGAGCUAGAAUUCUUAACUUGUGUUAGCACCUAAGGGCCAAGGAACAGUCUCAGGUAGACAGUCUCUAUGGGGCAUAGGCCUCCCAAAAGGUAACGGAGGCGUGCAAAGGUUUCCUCGAGCCACAUGCAGAUUGGCCCUCAAGUGCAAAGGCAAAAGGGAGCUUGACUGCAAGACCUGCACGUCUAGUAGGGAUGAAUUCAGCCUUAGUGAUCCGACAGUGCCGAGUGGAAAGGCCAUCAUUCAAUGGAUAGAAGUUACUCUAAGGAUAAUAGGUUAAUCUUCCCUAAAAGCUCACAUCGAUGUGAAGAUUUGGCACCUCGAUGUCAGCUCUUUGCCACCUGAGGCCGUAGUAUGUUCCAAGGGUUGGGUUGUUAGCCCAUUAAAAUGGUAUGUGAGCUGGGUUCAAAACGUCGUGAGAUAAUUCGAUCCAUAUCCAGUGUGGGCAUUAGAGCAUUGAGAGGACCUUCCUCUAGUACGAGGGGAUUGGGAAAGACGCACCUCUAGUUUACUAGUUAUUGUGCCCACAGUAAACGCUAGGUACCCUAGUGCGAAGCAGAUAACUGCUGAAAGCAUCUAAAUAGUAAGUCCACCCCAAAAUGAGUGCUCUCCUAUUUCGACUUCCCCAGAGUUUCUGGUAGCAUAGCCAAGAUAGCGAUGGGUUUUCUACCCCUGCAGGGGUGGAGCGACAGAAGUUUUGAGAAUUCAAGAAAAGCUCAAGGCGAGACGAGCUGCUUAUCAUUACGAUAGGUGUCAAAUGGAAGUGUAGUGAUGUAUGUAGCUGAUGCAUCCUAAUAGACCGGUAGACUUGAAC